RNAcentral lists this ribosomal RNA (446 nucleotides) under uncultured bacterium. RNAcentral's name for it is "partial 16S ribosomal RNA". It matches the Rfam family "Bacterial small subunit ribosomal RNA", at positions 338 to 795 of the family's 1533-position model. The record is from RNAcentral.
CCUACGGGCGGCAGCAGUCGAGAAUCAUUCACAAUGGGGGAAACCCUGAUGGUGCGACGCCGCGUGGGGGAAUGAAGGUCUUCGGAUUGUAAACCCCUGUCAUGUGGGAGCAAAUUAAAAAGAUAGUACCACAAGAGGAAGAGACGGCUAACUCUGUUCCAGCAGCCGCGGGAAUACAGAGGUCUCAAGCGUUGUUCGGCAUCACUGGGCGUAAAGCGUGCGUAGGCUGUUUCGUAAGUCGUGUGUGAAAGGCGCGGGCUCAACCCGCGGACGGCACAUGAUACUGCGAGACUAGAGUAAUGGAGGGGGAACCGGAAUUCUCGGUGUAGCAGUGAAAUGCGUAGAUAUCGAGAGGAACACUCGUGGCGAAGGCGGGUUCCUGGACAUUAACUGACGCUGAGGCACGAAGGCCAGGGGAGCGAAAGGGAUUAGAUACCCCUGUAGUC